GCUAGCUUUCUCAGAACAAAUCAGUUUAAAUAAAACGAUUAUCGAUGACGUACUUUUGAUCGAAUGUAACUCGUCAUCUUCAGUAACAUUUAAAUUUAGUGAUGAACAACGGGAUUCGACAGUGUACAUAGCAAAGUGCGAACAUGCUGUGCGUCGAUGCUAUUUUGUUGAUAGCAACCAUAACAGUAAAUUUGAGGUGUCAUACACAGGCCAUGGAGGACUUCUUCGUGUUAUGCCGUUGAAUAUGGGUGUAUGGGGAACAUACAUAUGUUGUGAUUCAUAUAGACCGAGAAUAUGUAAUAGCACAACCGUGUUAUUAAAUGAGACAAUAACAACUAUCUUACCAAUCAGUCUCAGAAACAUAACAGCAACAAGAGGUACAACAAUCACUGACGUUAAAACACAAUCGCCAAACAAAGACUCAGAUGGAAAAGCGAUAUGGAUCGCAGUUGGUGUUUCGGUUUCGGUUUCGGUCGUCGCUAUCAUUGCCAUCAGUCUUGCGAUUUGUGCAAUGAUUCGAACAAAUCGACUAGAAGCCAGAAAACCAUAUCGCCAGCGAGAACGAACCAGAAGUGAAAACCCGGAAAUCAUUACAAUUGACGAUGAUGAUGCAGAGCUUGAAACCAUGUGUGUUUCUCAUGUUGGUGAAGAUCAGGGACUCAUAAAACAAAAAGCUGUCGAUCAAUUGACGUAAAAUGACGUUUCUUGAAGACCCAUGCCAAUCUAAAUACGAACUGUGUUUCGUUGGUUAACUACUUAAAUAUUUUGGCUGUAGUUUCGCCCUUUUGUUUAAAACGGGCAAGUAUAUACACUUAUCAAAUAUAUUUGUUUUAUGCAGCGACAUCAUCUAUAGAAAAAGCAAAACCAUAAAAAGGUGAACUUAAUUGGAGACAAUAUACUAUUUGAAGUUUGCAAGAAGACAGUUACAUGAAUUGAUAUAGCGUUUAUUCUUUUUAUAUGGAAGGACUUGUUCGCCAAUCCAUUUAUGUUGCUAAAUGAGAGUUGCAUAUUGCUUAAUGACAAUUCUUUUUUGCUUUUCGACAACUUCGUGUAAACAUAUGAUAUUUGCGUGUUGGUAUGUGAAACAUGGUUAUUUAUUGAAUGUUCUAAAAGCUAUGUAUAAGGAAAUGAAAUCCUGCGUAAAAGUGCAUAAGAAAUAUACAUGUUCAUUUGGUACUUACACACAAUUAGUUGAGUACGCUGUUACCAAUCGAUUUUCGUGUAACCUCGGCACCAGACAAGGAGACAAAACAAUAUCGACAAUUUUGUUCCUCUUUACUGACGAGUUAUCUACCUUUCUGCGUGCUGUAACUUCCAAGCGCCUUUGUGCUGUGUAAAAUCUAUA
Long non-coding RNA from Dreissena polymorpha, 1345 nucleotides. RefSeq lists it as uncharacterized. NCBI's taxonomy places the organism in Eukaryota, Metazoa, Mollusca, Bivalvia, Myida, Dreissenidae. The transcript has 4 exons. The record is from RefSeq and is a predicted model, not a curated record.